CCUCUAAAUAGUCUUGAUAUACCUUCUUUAUUCCACUUUUGAGAGUAAAAUCUUAACAUCUUUCUUUUUUUUGGUACCAAGACUCAAACUCAUGACCUCAGGUUUGCCAGGCAAAUGCUUAUGCUGCUGAGCUGGAUCCCCAGACUUUAACAUCUUUCUUUCAUAACAUGAAAAAUGGUCUAGAUGUGAAGAGGGAGAGGAGGAACAUGGAUAAAAGACUGCUUGAGAAGCUUUUUAUUUUUUAUAAUGUAAAUCUUCCAUUAAUCCACUGAUUAUAUCCUUUUUCUGCAACUCUCAUGUAAGUAUAUAUACUUUAACUUUAAACUUCUUUUUUCAAAUUGUUUAGAAACUAAGACAUAAUUAUUUCUUACCGCAGGUCCUUCAAGUUCCAAGAAAUGGUAACAGUGCUACCCUGUUUCUGCUCAUCUCAGCUGCUCCUUAACAUUUACCUAGAAAUCUAAAGAGAAACAGGCUUCCCUUCAGUCCCAUCUAUAACAGGCCCAGAGUGACAUAACAACUUGUCAGAAUUAUGACUCUGACACACUGCAGAAUCUUCUAAAAAAAUGUAGAAGACUGAAGACAUUGGGGAUGGAUGGGUAAGAAUGUAAAAAGAAGAGAUGGUCGACUUUAAGGAGAUGGGGAAAAAUGAAGAUCUAAACCAAAUACAAGAGCUUAACAAUCCUUUGGCAAAACCAGAAGUCUACCGCCAUAAGAACAUAAAUCCAGGAUAUAAUAAAAACAUGGUAA
This 747-nucleotide long non-coding RNA is filed under the name Chinchilla lanigera (long-tailed chinchilla). Its description in RNAcentral is "lncRNA (ENSCLAG00000028587.1)". The record is from RNAcentral. Lineage: Eukaryota; Metazoa; Chordata; Mammalia; Rodentia; Chinchillidae.